Molecule: ribosomal RNA, 680 nt
Filed under: Campylobacter jejuni
Lineage: Bacteria; Pseudomonadati; Campylobacterota; Epsilonproteobacteria; Campylobacterales; Campylobacteraceae
Description: bacterial SSU rRNA
Rfam family: Bacterial small subunit ribosomal RNA
Source: RNAcentral
AGCUAACGCAUUAAGUGUACCGCCUGGGGAGUACGGUCGCAAGAUUAAAACUCAAAGGAAUAGACGGGGACCCGCACAAGCGGUGGAGCAUGUGGUUUAAUUCGAAGAUACGCGAAGAACCUUACCUGGGCUUGAUAUCCUAAGAACCUUAUAGAGAUAUGAGGGUGCUAGCUUGCUAGAACUUAGAGACAGGUGCUGCACGGCUGUCGUCAGCUCGUGUCGUGAGAUGUUGGGUUAAGUCCCGCAACGAGCGCAACCCACGUAUUUAGUUGCUAACGGUUCGGCCGAGCACUCUAAAUAGACUGCCUUCGUAAGGAGGAGGAAGGUGUGGACGACGUCAAGUCAUCAUGGCCCUUAUGCCCAGGGCGACACACGUGCUACAAUGGCAUAUACAAUGAGACGCAAUACCGCGAGGUGGAGCAAAUCUAUAAAAUAUGUCCCAGUUCGGAUUGUUCUCUGCAACUCGAGAGCAUGAAGCCGGAAUCGCUAGUAAUCGUAGAUCAGCCAUGCUACGGUGAAUACGUUCCCGGGUCUUGUACUCACCGCCCGUCACACCAUGGGAGUUGAUUUCACUCGAAGCCGGAAUACUAAACUAGUUACCGUCCACAGUGGAAUCAGCGACUGGGGUGAAGUCGUAACAAGGUAACCGUAGGAGAACCUGCGGUUGGAUCACCUCCUUU